CCGCCAUCCACGUGUGCCGACCCAUCUCUUCUACUAACGAGGACGGACUAUAGCGAGGUGACUGGUGACUUGGCCCAGGGAGGACAGUGCACGUCGGGACACAGGGUGGGGAGGUGCUGCCGGUCGUCUCUCUUAGCUGACCGACUCGGGUCUUUAAAUGUAUGAUGAUGGAUCCAAUUGGUUGUUACUGCUGUUAAAGGCCAGUUUGCUGCAUCAGUGGUCGUCAGCGUGGGUAGUACAGCACCUCGUCAGCGUGGAUAGUACAGCACCUUCUUAUUUACUGGGGAUGAUGACUUAAAGAUGGAGGAUCCAACAAAUGACCUAAGAGUUUUCUGGUGAACCGACUUGCUGCACUGCUCCAGUCCAGGGUAACUCAUUGUGGUUUCUUCACUAAACUUGACAAGAGUACUGUACUGUAAUUGUAACCCAUGGACUGCCGUGUCUAGUUAACUCUUUUAAGUACAUGUAUCAAUCAAGUAUUAUUACUGUACAAUAUUAGGGAUGCACCAAUUAAUUGAUAAAUUACAAAUAUCCAUAUUUUGUGGAAUAAUCUGUACAGGUAUUGGUAAACAAAGUAUUAGCUGAUGCCAUUUUGCGGUCUAUUUUGGGUUGAGAAAUUAAUCUAACAUUUUUAUUACCAGCAAAAUACAGUAAUUACGGAAACCAGUUAGUCUGUUCACUUAUUAUGGUAAUGUCACUCUCGGAUGCCGAUCAUUGUCUUGUAGUUGUGAUGGAUAACAUGGCAGUGUCUGUGCAGGUCUUUGUACAACACUUCAUUAUACAGUACCGGUAAUAAAUAUAUUAUCAUGCCAGACAAAGUAGCUCUUAUUUAUUCUGAAGAGAAAAAUAAUCCGGUAAAGACUGUCGCUGACGAGGAAGCCUUGUUAAAGCACAUUACUUAUUUUAUUUACCAAUAUACUAUACUACAGUAGACUUAAAUCCUGCAAAAAUUAUGAAAUAUAAAACCCAGCUGUUCUUAAUAUUGCAGCUUCAAGAUUUCUGUAAUACUAUUACCCACUAAAGUUGAUGUAUUUGUGGACGGGUUUCUUUACCACCAGAGGAAAUUGUUUCAUUUAAAUACUGUACUGUAUUUGGCCGAUACUUUGUUUAUAGUCUGGCUUUGGUGGCGAGACUAUAUAG
Homarus americanus (American lobster) is the source of this 1140-nucleotide long non-coding RNA. RefSeq lists it as uncharacterized. The record is from RefSeq and is a predicted model, not a curated record. The transcript has 4 exons. Lineage: Eukaryota; Metazoa; Arthropoda; Malacostraca; Decapoda; Nephropidae.